Molecule: long non-coding RNA, 419 nt
Filed under: Populus trichocarpa (black cottonwood)
Lineage: Eukaryota; Viridiplantae; Streptophyta; Magnoliopsida; Malpighiales; Salicaceae
Description: long non-coding RNA (PTRI_LNC003161)
Source: RNAcentral
GUAGGGAAUUCCGACCGGUGAUGUUCUGAUAUUUGCUCUUUGGAGGCUAAGCACACUGACACAAUAUUUAACGUGGUUCGGCAAACCGCCUACAUCCACGGGAGAAGCCAUUUGAUUAUAUAGGGAGCGAACAAGAUUUACAACAAUAGAGGAGGAGGAAUCAUCCCCUCUUUGGCAACUCUCAACCUCACUCUAUUUCUCUCUUUUCAGUGCUGCAAUGGCAGCUACUGCUGGCUGCCUUGGCAGCCCACUCUCUCCUACAUUUCUCACAUCUUUGGCUCUACACACUCUCACUUUCUCUCUCCUUUUGCUCUCAACCGUAUGCCUCUAUUUAUAGGCAUCCAUGGCAGCUCCUCCAGCUCUUUUGUCAACAAUGGUGGCUGCCAAUUCCAGCUCUUCUUCAACAAAGGUGGCUGCCA